RNAcentral lists this long non-coding RNA (388 nucleotides) under Rattus norvegicus (Norway rat). Its description in RNAcentral is "long non-coding RNA NONRATT024654". The record is from RNAcentral. Lineage: Eukaryota; Metazoa; Chordata; Mammalia; Rodentia; Muridae.
AGAAUAGAUACCUCCAAGGUGAUCUCCAAGUUCUUCCUCAGUCUUGAGGUGUGGGAUUCCCGGUGUGUGUCAUCAGUAUACAUACCUCCACGGUGAUUUCAGAGUUCUUCCUCAGUCCUGAGGUUUGGGAUUCCCGGUUUGUGUCAGUAGAAUUGCGAGAGUGUGAGUUCAUCCUAUUUUCUUCAGUACGAUUUUUUUUCUUGCAUGUAAUGCCUCUUCCCCUAUGAGUUGAUAAUCUUGGGAGAGCAACUGUAGACAGUGGUUAAAUAAGGAACGCAUACGAAAAAUAUAUGUUCCAUGAACUGAUACCUAUGAAGAGUGUGCAAUGACAGAUGUAAUGACCUUUGCCAAAGAUGCUCUAGAGUUUAAAAUCCACUCAAGCAUCUGG